Molecule: ribosomal RNA, 1248 nt
Filed under: Portulaca little leaf phytoplasma
Lineage: Bacteria; Bacillati; Mycoplasmatota; Mollicutes; Acholeplasmatales; Acholeplasmataceae
Description: bacterial SSU rRNA
Rfam family: Bacterial small subunit ribosomal RNA
Source: RNAcentral
GAAACGACUGCUAAGACUGGAUAGGAAACAAAAAGGCAUCUUUUUGUUUUUAAAAGACCUUCUUACGAAGGUAUGCUUGAAGAGGGGCUUGCGCCACAUUAGUUAGUUGGUAGAGUAAAAGCCUACCAAGACGAUGAUGUGUAGCUGGACUGAGAGGUUGAACAGCCACAUUGGGACUGGGACACGGCCCAAACUCCUACGGAAGGCAGCAGUAGGGAAUUUUCGGCAAUGGAGGAAACUCUGACCGAGCAACGCCGCGUGAACGAUGAAGUAUUUCGGUAUGUAAAGUUCUUUUAUUGAAGAAGAAAAAGUAGUGGAAAAACUAUAUUACGUUAUUCAAUGAAUAAGCCCCGGCUAACUAUGUGCCAGCAGCCGCGGUAAGACAUAGGGGGCGAGCGAUAUCCGGAAUUAUUGGGCGUAAAGGGUGCGUAGGCUGUUAGAUAAGUCUAUAAUUUAAUUUCAGUGCUUAACGCUGUCUUGUUAUAGAAACUGUCUGGACUAGAGUGAGAUAGAGGCAAGCGGAAUUCCAUGUGUAGCGGUAAAAUGUGUAAAUAUAUGGAGGAACACCAGAAGCGUAGGCGGCUUGCUGGGUCUUUACUGACGCUGGGGCACGAAAGCGUGGGUAGCAAACAGGAUUAGAUACCCUGGUAGUCCACACCGUAAACGAUGAGUACUAAGUGUCGGGGUAAAACUCGGUACUGAAGUUAACACAUUAAGUACUCCGCCUGAGAAGUACGUACGCAAGUAUGAAACUUAAAGGAAUUGACGGGACUCCGCACAAGCGGUGGAUCAUGUUGUUUAAUUUGAAGAUACACGAAAAAUCUUACCAGGUCUUGACAUACUCUGCAAAGCUAUAGAAAUAUAGUGGAGGUUAUCAGGGAUACAGGUGGUGCAUGGUUGUCGUCAGUUCGUGUCGUGAGAUGUUAGGUUAAGUCCUAAAACGAACGCAGCCCUUGUCGUUAAAUGCCAGCACAUAAUGGUGGGGACUUUAACGAGACUGCCAAUUAAACAUUGGAGGAAGGUGAGGAUUACGUCAAAUCAUCAUGCCCCUUAUGAUCUGGGCUACAAACGUGAUACAAUGGCUGUGACAAAGAGUAGCUGAAACGCGAGUUUUUAGCCAAUCUCAAAAAGCAGUCUCAGUUCGGAUUGAAGUCUGUAACUCGACUUCAUGAAGUUGGAAUCGCUAGUAAUCGCGAAUCAGCAUGUCGCGGUGAGUACGUUGACGGGGUUUGUACACACCGCCCGUCA